UCUUGAUAGUAGAACUGAUUCGAAUGAAUUUAUAUUUAAAAAAUUUUAAUAUUCGUAUAAUAAUUAAUUACUUGUACUUUAUUUAUAGCCGAAAUUUGGAUCUUAACUGAAAGGCGUAUGCAAUACGAGCAAAAGAUGGAAAACUGAAUUGUUUGAAUUAAAGCAUUAAAAGAAGGCUGCCAAGAAUUCAAAGAGUCUUUUGUGACAGCCAAACGAGGAGGCGCAUCGGUAUGUCCCGAAUUUAAAUUCGAAAUAAUGUUUUGUUAUCCUAAAUAAAUAUAAAUA
Long non-coding RNA from Drosophila serrata, 285 nucleotides. The record is from RefSeq and is a predicted model, not a curated record. Lineage: Eukaryota; Metazoa; Arthropoda; Insecta; Diptera; Drosophilidae.